GGAAGUGCUGCAGCUCAGUGGCAGAGCAUCUGCUUUUCAUGCAGAUGGUCCCAGGUUCAACUCCUGGCAUCUCCA
Molecule: non-coding RNA, 75 nt
Organism: Rhineura floridana
Lineage: Eukaryota; Metazoa; Chordata; Lepidosauria; Squamata; Rhineuridae
Source: the annotation of a RefSeq genome assembly